RNAcentral lists this ribosomal RNA (502 nucleotides) under uncultured bacterium. RNAcentral describes it as "bacterial SSU rRNA". It matches the Rfam family "Bacterial small subunit ribosomal RNA", at positions 28 to 517 of the family's 1533-position model. The record is from RNAcentral.
GAUGAACGCUAGCUACAGGCUUAACACAUGCAAGUCGAGGGGCAGCGAGGGCGUAGCAAUACGCCUGUCGGCGACCGGCGCACUGGUGAGUAACACGUAUGCGACCUGCCCCCUACAGGGGUAUAACCCGUAGAAAUGCGGACUAAUCCCCCAUAGUCCUGGGUGCUGCAUGGCAUUCAGGGGAAAGCCAGCCGGUAGGGGAUGGGCAUGCGGCGCAUUAGCUAGUUGGCGGGGCAACGGCCCACCAAGGCGACGAUGCGUAGGGGUUCUGAGAGGAAGGUCCCCCACACUGGUACUGAGACACGGUCCAGACUCCUACGGGAGGCAGCAGUGGGGAAUCUUCCGCAAUGGCGAAAGCCUGACGGAGCAACGCCGCGUGAGUGAAGAAGGUCUUCGGACCGUUAAAGCUCUGUUGUCGGGGACGAAUGUUGAGACCUAGAACAUAGGUUUCAAAUGACGGUACCUGACGAGGAAGCCACGGCUAACUACGUGCCAGCAGCCG